This is a non-coding RNA of Misgurnus anguillicaudatus (oriental weatherfish), 2796 nucleotides long. The record is from RefSeq and is a predicted model, not a curated record. NCBI's taxonomy places the organism in Eukaryota, Metazoa, Chordata, Actinopteri, Cypriniformes, Cobitidae.
AAACCUAAACCCACCUCAAACCCCAACCCUAACCAAACCCUAAAAUCAGAUGGACAUGAUAAGUGAAAAACAAUGGUCUAGAAACAGCUAAUCCUGGUUGUAAGCUUAAACUUAAAACAAACUUUAAACUUAUUUCUGAAAUCUGAUUGGUUGAUUGAAAUGUUGUCCCAAGGUCAACAUAAUGUUGCCCUGAGGACAUCAACCACUUGGCAAAAUCAGGAGAGCCCUGCGGUUGCGUGCACGUCACAAACUAUGAAAAAAUAUAAAGUACAAUCUCCCCCAGCGAGAUAUCUUCAAGUUUGUGUGAACGCAAACAGCCAGGAGAUUCAGAGUUAGAGCGCUAUUUGCAACUGAUAUCAGUGAUGAACCGCUAGCUUUCGAGAAGAACAAAGGCAAAAUAUUCUUUCUUGGUCACUCAAGGUUGUGAAAAAGUAUCAAUCUGCGCUACCCGUACACCAUCAGAACAUGUUUUUAGUGCUGCUGGAAACAUUAUAACCCCAAUAAGGUUUCUCACUUUUUGUUUCAUGGUUUGAAGUGCUACAAUAAACACACACAUAGGCGCCAAUCCCGUGGGUGCUCAGAAGCUCGGCUCUAGCACCCAGCAAAAUGGCAAAGCACAUAUGCUCAGUUUAUUCACAUUAAAGGUACGGUUUUCCCUGAUCGCAACUUUAGUUAGUGUGUAAUCUUGCUGUUUGAGCUAAGGUAUUAUUUAUGCUCUAAGUUCACUGCCAAGCAAUAUAUUCCCCUUUCAAACUGUCAUGGAGUGACUUUUAUCGGCGGAACGAAAAGGGCGAAGAUCCUUCAGCCCGCAUGAAUUUUAAUGAAACACCAGGUCGGUUCCGGCCAACUCCGGGCAAACAAAUCGAGGAUUAGAAGGAUCAGGUGUGUUAAGCAAGUGUGGCGAUCGAUGAUUGGGCUUUGAAGAGGAGAGGAGGCCCAUAAAAAGGGCGUGAAAGAAACUGAAGGAGAGCAGUUGUUCCACGAGUUCGCUUUGGGAGCCCGCUGGAUUGUUGUGAAAGGGGGCGGGUGAGGGCAAGCCGGAAAAAUGAAACGAAGAGUAAAGACGAGCAUCUGGAUGAAGGAAGCCAAUGGCAGAUGAAAAGUAGCCUUCAACGAAGGAGUGAAAAGCCACGUUUGUUCCGGCGUUCACGGAAGAGCGAAGCGGGUGCUCGUUUUCCGUCGAUCGCUGUGUGUGAAGCGGAGGUCUAUGGUGUGUUUGGAGAGACAUCUUUUGUGUGGAUUUGUAGGCUGGGCGAAAUCAAGACAGGAGAAUUGGGCUGAAAUAAAGACGGAGAUAAGUGCUGAACUCAUUUAUACUGCAGUGAUGCGCUGUUGAUUCUACUGUGUAUGUUGAAGAAAUCUUAUAUGUCGAAAGGAUGGAGGAGUCUGCAUAAACAAGGCCCUGGAUGGUUGGGACAUCUGUAAGGAAAAAGGGAAGAAGGAGUUAAAGGAACAGUGCGAUACGUUGGAGUUUGUCUUGUUAUCACUCUGUCACUUGCAAUAUUAACCAUACUGUCCUCUUAGUUUGUCUUUGUUCCCUGAUUGAGUGUGUUAGCCCCCAGCUUGUUGUGAAAAUUCAUUGACACAUUGGAGUCGGCGGAGGAAGGGAAGGGCUCAAGUAGUCGUGGCCUUGACGUUUACAUAUGGUUGUCUUCUGCCUUAGUCAUCGAACGAUACAGGACUCUGAACACGGCCCAACGGGUGACCCUGACCUUCAUCACCGUGAGUGCGUGGAGUGCGGUGGGUGAUUAUUUUGUGAGAGUGUACACUUGGAUUUUUGGAGUGCUGUGUAUUGUCAGUGUUGUCAGCGAUCACUUCCCAGGCUGAAGAAAGAGACCUGUUUCCGAAGAGCAGAGUGGUGGCACUGGACAGCUGUCUUUUAUUCCUAUACGACUGGGACAGAUUCAACUCCUCCCACGCCUGUGGUGGCGCCUCGACUGUAGCAAGUAAGGCUGGGCUGUGAACAUUGUGUUCGACAUCUGCAGAGGGAGAGCUUGUAUCUAUCUAUUUGUGGUGGGGAAAAAGUGUACUUACUGUUGUUGUGUAUAACUAUACACGUGUCAAGUGUUUCCAGAUAUCAAUCUAUGUCCAUAUCUUCUGCCUGGUUGUCUGAAAGAAAGUUGAGGUGAAGUGGCUGGCCCCGCUCUUGUAGCACGCUGUACCGUACGACCCCCCCACCUCCAUCUACCUACCUCUGUGACCCCAUCUAGUGGGUGCGUUUGUCUAAACAACAAUCCGCCUCACCCGGUGCCUCCAUCUGCCCCUUUCCUGCCUGAAGCUAAGAGGUGGUGUAAUCCUCCUUGCAUGUUCCUUGAAGUAUUGUUAUUGUCGAAGAGAUUGUGUGUCUUUGCUGCCAGCCUGCAGGUCCGAGCCAAGGGCUCUGUGUCGUCGAGGGAUUGUGUUAUCCUAUGCCCUGAAGUUGACGCCUAAGUGGUCGUCGUAAGUCUGUUCGAGAGAGGAAGACUAGAAGUCGUUGUGUGCCUAUACGUCUGCUCCAACCACCAGAGUGUCAAGAAGGAUAAGCCUUGUACAUCCGCCCAUUCCCUUGCCAGAAAAGAGGCUAGAAACGUUCACUUGUAGUUCACCUGUGAGACGCAAAGAGAGGAAGCCGGGAAGACUUACAUGUAGUUCACGUGGAGACGAAGAGAGAGGGAAAGUCAGGAAGACUUACCUGCAGUCUACGUGAACAGUCAGAAGUGACUCGGAUCACUGUUCCCUCAGUUCCAGAAAGCUCACCAUUUUUAGAACCCUUCCCCCUUUCCCUGUUUUUAAUUAAAUAAAGACUGUUACAUUUUA